This 228-nucleotide ribosomal RNA is filed under the name uncultured bacterium. RNAcentral's name for it is "partial 16S ribosomal RNA". It matches the Rfam family "Bacterial small subunit ribosomal RNA", at positions 89 to 334 of the family's 1533-position model. The record is from RNAcentral.
AGACCCAUGGCAGACGAGGUAGGAACACGUAGGUACAUACCCCAAAGUCACGGAUAAUCUGGAGAAAUCCAGGAUAAUACGUGAUAGUCUCGAAAGAGUAAAGAUUUAUCGCUUUGGGAAUGGCCUGCGUUCUAUCAGCUUGAUGGUAAGGUAACGGCUUACCAUGGCUAUGACGGAUAGGGGAGGUGAGAGCCUGACCCCCACCGAUGGAACUGCGACACGGUCCAU